AAAUUAAACAAGGGGAGCUCGCACCAAGAGCUGAGAAAGAGAUAUUAUCGCUGACCCUCAUAACCUGAUUUGGGUAAUUCCAACGUAGGGAGUUUAUUACAAUGUUU
This 107-nucleotide non-coding RNA is filed under the name Clostridium estertheticum. RNAcentral describes it as "TPP sequence". It matches the Rfam family "TPP riboswitch aptamer (THI element)". From Rfam's summary of the family: Vitamin B(1) in its active form thiamin pyrophosphate (TPP) is an essential coenzyme that is synthesised by coupling of pyrimidine and thiazole moieties in bacteria. The record is from RNAcentral. Lineage: Bacteria; Bacillati; Bacillota; Clostridia; Eubacteriales; Clostridiaceae.